RNAcentral lists this unclassified non-coding RNA (2479 nucleotides) under Hevea brasiliensis (rubber tree). Lineage: Eukaryota; Viridiplantae; Streptophyta; Magnoliopsida; Malpighiales; Euphorbiaceae. The record is from RNAcentral.
GUAAAUCGCAUAUUUUACCCCCCUUCUCCACUAAAUAAUAUAAUAGUUGCAUGCAUGCAGGAUGCAGCCAAACAAAUUUCUGAAAUUUUGAAGCAAAGCAAAAAUCUGCAAACCAGUAAUACAAGGUGGAAUAACUCAGCUACAAUGGAUAACCAUUUCAAGUAUGGCUAUUGUAAGGCACAGGAGAUAACAGAAACAAGAGACAUUAAUAUAUCUGAAUUGCAGUGUGCGCCCUCCAAAGUCCUGAUCAACCACAUGCCAUUAAGGAGGGAAAAAAACUGAUGGCAUUGGAUCACAGGACAGAUCUACAGAUACUUUGUAUACAUAUAAAAAAGGACAAGCUUAAUUUACAUGUAGAAGACGGCCGGAAGAAAAGUAAAACUUAUCUUCAUAGAAGGCAAAAACCUAAACAAGUACAUGAAGCACCACCACUACCAGCAAUGACUUCAACAAACAAAACUGGGAUGUAAGUAGCCGGGCUGAGGCAGCUGAUGGUUUAGAUGGAGCUCUUCCAGCAACAGCAGGUGAAACCGCAUGUCCUCCAGGAGUGCUCUGCUGCUCAUUUGUUGGUAAUGGGUUAGCUGGUGCCCCACUGGGAGAAGUAAGAGGCAUCCUCUUGCCAUCACUUCGACCUUCACCUGCAUAUGUACAGGGGGGUUUCAAUUGACUGAUAAGAUCUAUCUCACAUAAAUAAAAGUUUUUAGUCUUCGAUUGUCAUACACCUUGAAAAAUAGUAACAAAGGCCAGAAAACUCACAAUCGGAGCGUGACCAUCCCAACUUCAAAUUUUCCCUAUCAAACACCACUCGAUAUCCCGUCAUGAAAUUUUCUGCAUUAAAAUUUUUCUUUCAAGUAUAAAAAUAAUCCUAGAUUGAGAGAAAAGGAGCCCUUGCCCAGGAAAAAAAAAAUAGCACACUUACGUCCAAUGGCUCCAAUAUCUUCAUCAGUUGGUUGAAUGGCUAAACAAAAUCCAGCAACUCCCUGCAUGCCAUAGAUCAUAAAAACAGGAUUAUGGAUCACAAAGCUGUUGUUUAACGGGAAAAUGAGCUUCACAGAUGGCACCUUGGGCGAGUCCUUUGAACUGGAUUUGUAACAAUACUUCCAGGGAUAACCGUCAAAGCUGGAGAUCGUAACAUUCACUUGUCGGUCAAACUCCUCAGUAACUCUUUCAUAAACAUCUUCUGGAAGAAAUGUGAAUGAUGUGCCAGUAUCAACUAGUGCCCUAAAGCUUGUCUGCUUAAGGCAAGAACUGCCAACACAACAGGCCUCCACUCCCACGAUGUAUGUUGUGUAAUUCCCAUUUAGAGUGAGGAAUGGAGUAGAUUGCUGGGUUGUUGGUCCCUGAUCACCAAAAAAUAUUCUCCCAGAAUCAUCCUCAUCAAAGCACAUUGAGAAAGAGUUUCUGAUCAAUCCUGCUUUAGCAAGAAAACUGGGAACUGAAAUUUCUGACAGUCCUAAACCCAUCAGACCAUCAGGUGCAACCCCGUCCAAGUAACCACCACUUUGCUUCAUGCCACAUCCUAUGACCACUGCAGCCUGCACAGAAGCAUUUAAUGCAUUAUCACCAUCUGAUGCAAGAUGUAAUAUGUCCUCAAGCAGCAAUCCAGAACUUGAUGUGUUUUCUGUGUAAUAAUCAAUAGCGUAAGGGCAUGGCUGUUUAGGGCUUUUGCAGUUCGGACCUGAUUCACAUAACCGAUGGCUGCAAGAUAGGUGCUUGCUGGUACUUGAAUGAGAAGGACUAUAUUCAUUCAGAUCUCUAUCCAGACUGUUAUAGUAACUUGCAGAUAGGGGGGCACAUUGCACGCAAUCGCAAGGCACCCAGAGUAGAUCACUUCCAGCAUCCAGUGCAACAAGAAAUGACACAUGAGGUGUCCCUAUAUCAAUCCAGGUGUAGUGCAACCAUCCAAAGUCAUUUCCAAGCGACAUCGUUUUGCUGCCUUCGGAAGGGAAGAGAAAAUUGUAAUGAGGUCCAAGCUUCAUCUUCUGCCUCUGGAAGUCACUGCUCACGAGCUUCUGGUAAUACUCCACACUCUUCUUCUCAGGCCACAAGUUCCUCAUGCUCAAGCUUCCGUACUUCGAAACCCUAAGCGUCUUCAUUUCGUCAGAGAACCGGUGAAUCAGCUUCGACGAGAAUGUAAUUUCUAAGCUCUCCCCCACAAGAAGGCUCGCCAUUACCAAAAUAAGCAGAGAUCGAGCCGCCAUGGCGACUCGAAAUGUGCAGCAAGCAAGGGUGGGCGGCUGAUGAUCUAGCAGUGUGCAAAUGACAAUAGAAAAAAUGAACAGAAUAGGGCAAUUUAGAGUGCUUUUAAGCAAUAAGAUGGAGAUCUAGCGUUUUGAGGCUAGUGUUGAAAUGUGUAUAGCUCCGGCCACCGUGUGUAGGAGGGAUGAGCCACCGAUUUUUUCAGGGCCGGCGAAGAGAAGGAGCAAAUAUUUGUCAAGUGUUUAUAUGCAACUUUACUUCUGCGGGAAAUCACGAGACA